AUUGAACGCUGGCGGCAGGCUUAACACAUGCAAGUCGAGCGGGGUGAUGGUGCUUGCACUAUCACUUAGCGGCGGACGGGUGAGUAAUGCUUAGGAAUCUGCCUAUUAGUGGGGGACAACAUCUCGAAAGGGACGCUAAUACCGCAUACGUCCUACGGGAGAAAGCAGGGGAUCACUUGUGACCUUGCGCUAAUAGAUGAGCCUAAGUCGGAUUAGCUAGUUGGUGGGGUAAAGGCCUACCAAGGCGACGAUCUGUAGCGGGUCUGAGAGGAUGAUCAGCCACACUUGGACUGAGACACGGCCCAGACUCCUACGGGAGGCAGCAGUGGGGAAUAUUGGACAAUGGGGGGAACCCUGAUCCAGCCAUGCCGCGUGUGUGAAGAAGGCCUUAUGGUUGUAAAGCACUUUAAGCGAGGAGGAGGCUCUUUUGGUUAAUACCCAAGAUGAGUGGACGUUACUCGCAGAAUAAGCACCGGCUAACUCUGUGCCAGCAGCCGCCGUAA
Molecule: ribosomal RNA, 503 nt
Filed under: uncultured bacterium
Lineage: Bacteria
Description: partial 16S ribosomal RNA
Rfam family: Bacterial small subunit ribosomal RNA
Source: RNAcentral